RNAcentral lists this unclassified non-coding RNA (200 nucleotides) under Pseudocercospora sp. RNAcentral's name for it is "partial internal transcribed spacer 2". Lineage: Eukaryota; Fungi; Ascomycota; Dothideomycetes; Mycosphaerellales; Mycosphaerellaceae. The record is from RNAcentral.
UUAAGUUCAGCGGGUAUCCCUACCUGAUCCGAGGUCAACCUUGUUUAAAUGGUGUUUUUGACGGCGGCGAACACGCCCGGCCUCCUAAGCGAAUGAAAAUGCCACAACGCUUAGAGACGGACGGCUCGGCCGAAGACAUUAGGGCGCGCGGGGGGGCCGCGGCGCCCAAUACCAAGCCAGGCUUGAGUGGUGAAAUGACG